Molecule: ribosomal RNA, 471 nt
Filed under: uncultured bacterium
Lineage: Bacteria
Description: partial 16S ribosomal RNA
Rfam family: Bacterial small subunit ribosomal RNA
Source: RNAcentral
GACGAACGCUGGCGGCGUGCUUAACACAUGCAAGUCGAACGGAAAGGCCCUGCUUGCCGGGUGCUCGAGUGGCGAACGGGUGAGUAACACGUGGGUGAUCUGCCCCUUACUUUGGGAUAAGCCUGGGAAACUGGGUCUAAUACUGGAUAGGACCAUGCUGUAGGUGGUGUGGUGGAAAGAUUUUUUCGGUAAGGGAUGAGCUCGCGGCCUAUCAGCUUGUUGGUGGGGUAAUGGCCUACCAAGGCGUCGACGGGUAGCCGGCCUGAGAGGGUGGACGGCCACAUUGGGACUGCGAUACGGCCCAGACUCCUACGGGAGGCAGCAGUGGGGAAUAUUGCACAAUGGGCGCAAGCCUGAUGCAGCGACGCCGCGUGGGGGAUGACGGCCUUCGGGUUGUAAACUACUUUCAGCCAUGACGAAGCCUCUUUUGGGGUGACGGUAGUGGUAGAAGAAGCACCGGCUAACUACGUG